Long non-coding RNA from Numida meleagris (helmeted guineafowl), 1386 nucleotides. RefSeq lists it as uncharacterized. The record is from RefSeq and is a predicted model, not a curated record. The transcript is spliced from 2 exons. NCBI's taxonomy places the organism in Eukaryota, Metazoa, Chordata, Aves, Galliformes, Numididae.
CCUUUGCACUUGGAUGCUGCUGAAACACCCUCCUUCCCAGCUCCCUUCCACAUGGGGUACCAGCUGGCCUUGGGCAGAAAAUCUGAGGAGCAGUCACUUCUGGCUGGCGGGAAGAGGUGAACUUGGCAUUUCUGGAGCCCUUCUUGGAGCUCACUUCAAAGACAGAUCAGGCUGCCCUGAAACAUCAGGCCAGAUAUAAAGCAGCCUCUCACUGACAGAGAUGGGCUGCUGCUGUAAGUCUCAGAGGUGGAUUCGAAUCUCUCCAAUCCUGUGGAUGAAUCUGCCUCUCUUUGUGUUAGAGGAGGAAGUGCCCUCUAGUUAUUUAAAAGCUUGCUGAGCAUCAGGUCAGUGAGCAGGCUCCCCGUGGAGGGCAGUGCUGCUAGCUGUCAUACUGCACCACCAGAAACUGGAUCUCCAGAAGCUCAGGAACGGCUUAAAAUGGGCGCAAACUGUCUUUGCUGGACUAAGCACUUUUGCUCCCAGAGUGCACUGUUGGUUGCUUUUCACAGUAGCCUUCCUUCACUGGAUUCUGUACAUUACGUGACUGGUGAACGGUCUUUUCUUUCUUCCUCCAGUGAAGAGACUUCACUCCAGCUUACUAACUUUCUCCACACAGAGGGAUGCUGGGUGUUACCCAGACUGAGCCAACCCAAGAAACUGGCCUCCUGGUUCUGCUGCUGUAACUAAUUUCUAGGCCACGUGUAUUUGUCAUCUGAUGCUUAGGUCAGGACCCAUGCUGGGCUCAGGAGAGAAAUAGCUAGUAUCAGAUUUUAGCUGUCUGCUAAGUGGUGUGCACAGGGGAGUACAAAAGGGCAGAAAUCACAUCUAGAGACUAUUCUGCACCAGUGCUUAACAGCUACAGGGCUUGGUUUGGCUUCUAGACAGCUACAAUCCCAGUGCGGCUUGGCUUACUGGGCUGUGAACAAAACUUGCUGAUGGCAGCUUACCUAAUGAUGAAUGGGAUCCCCUGAGUAGAUGUUGGCAGGAGGGUUAUGGGGGUCCUCUGCAGCAUUCCCAGAAGAGUCUUUUGGUGGGAUGCUACCUUUGUCUAGCAAGGUAACGCUGCGACUGGGAAUGCAAAUGGGGAGACUGGUCCUCACAGAAGGGACAAGAAAUCCUAUGCCAGACAUCUGUGAGAGGUUGAAGCCUGAAGAUUUAGAUCUAUUUCAGAUUGACUGUCCUACCCAAUGAUGAACGAUCUAUUAUCCAUCAAAAUGUCUCCUCCUUCCUGAAUCCUACAUACAGCAUCUGCAGCACCUUGUAGCAGCAAGUUCUGUAUGUCACUAUGCACUGCAUGGGAAAAUACUUCUACCACCAAAGUGUUACCUUUUGCUUUUUCCUGACUGCAAUCCAGUUCCUCCAGUAAAAAAAGUAAUGUAGAAAAGA